AUUUAAUGAACAAAGCCUAAGAGCGCCACGUCCUGUGGCAACGGCUUUGCAUCUG
Molecule: small RNA, 55 nt
Filed under: Ureibacillus acetophenoni
Lineage: Bacteria; Bacillati; Bacillota; Bacilli; Caryophanales; Caryophanaceae
Description: Lysinibacillus acetophenoni Bacillaceae-1 RNA
Rfam family: Bacillaceae-1 RNA
Source: RNAcentral